Mytilus californianus (California mussel) is the source of this 293-nucleotide long non-coding RNA. RefSeq lists it as uncharacterized. Lineage: Eukaryota; Metazoa; Mollusca; Bivalvia; Mytilida; Mytilidae. The record is from RefSeq and is a predicted model, not a curated record. The transcript is spliced from 5 exons.
AAGAUAACGAGUGCCUUGGUCAACGAAUUCAGAUAACAAUGUGGUAGAACUUCCUUUCAAGUCAAUUUCGGUAUAUAUGAAGAGAUUAAGUACAGACAUGCUUCCAUUAGUACUGUUAACCAUUUGUACUCUUAGUGGUUUUAUUGAAGCUAAAACUAGUACAGACCAGUUAGAGAGGUCAUCACGAUUUUGCCGUUUUUGCAAGUAUAAUCCGUGUAGACAUGGGAUUUGUCACAACUUCUUUUUAUGGUUUGCUUGUACAUGUCACAACGGUUAUGAAGGACACCUAUGCC